UUGCCUUGUUAUUGAGCUUGCUAGUGAGCUUAGGCUUUGUGCGCUUUGCCUCACUAGUUUGUGUAGGAGCUCCCAAAGUGGCUAUAAAAACUUCCUCUUCUAGUUUGGGGGAUGAUUCCUUCUCUACCUCUACGAUUUCAUUAUGAAGGCUAGUGCAAGUAGUGUGUCCACUAAUAAGGACAAACCUCUCCUCACUAUGGGAUAAAGAAAGGAAAACUCCUCCCAAGACAGUAUUAUCAAGACCCAUAUAAAGAUGUUUAAGAAGAACAGGGUCUUGUAGGUCUAAGCCUAAAUUUAUAGUAAGAAUAAAAGAUUCCCUAAGUAUAGCUAAAAGUUUAUUACCUACUUGAUCAGAAGAUAUGCAUUACCUUCUUGAUAAGAAGAUAUGACUCUAGCUGUGGAAAGGGUUGGCUUUGACCUAUUUCAACAAAUCAUGGGCAUAGCUCAUAGCUAGAUGUGAUAAUCAUGGGCUCUAGUGGCUCUAAGCUUACGCUCAUGGGUGCAAGAAUUUGAUAGAUAGGCAUGGAAUUUGGGUUAUCUAUAAAGAUAGAAAAGAAAAGGAAAAAGAAAAGAUGAGAUAAAAUAAAAAGAUAGAAGUAUAUUACAAGGUAGAUUAAGACUAGGUUAUCUAAGCAGACCGUCUUUCUCUCCGGCAAUGGCAUCAUAAAUGCUUGUUGAUAUUAGUUACGCACACGAAAUAAUCUUAAGAAAUUAUCUACAAGCGCACAGAUAUCGGUGAGCACUUCACCCGGGAGAUAAGUCCAAAGUAUCGUAUUUAUACUUUUACCACUAGGAGAAAGCGUGCAAAAGACUAACCUUGGUCUUAACUACUACCCACGGGCUGCAAUACAAGAUAGUGAGAUAUGAGCGAUAUAGAGAGAACUCCUUCGUCAGUCUUCUUCUAACCUAUGGUAAGCUGUGUAGAUAUUGUUCUAACGGGAGUAACUAGAGAAAAGAGACACCUCAAAGAAUGCUUAACCCUAGAACCAUAUAUCCUACCUUACCUCCUGACGAGACGUGGAUUAUUGAGACCCGAGAGGAUUGUCACUUCCCCCCAAAAAGGCUACCACAAAUCCGGCCACAUAGGGAGUAUCUACGAGUGUUGCUAGCCCAAGCACCACGCUUACACUACGAACGAUUACUCUAUUCCCAAGCGCAAGCAAAUAAAGUAAACUCGUAAACCAAAGAACAAUAAGAACAAUAGACUUACUAGUAUUAGAAGUUGAAUUGCUGAAUGAUUCUAGAACCAAGCCUCGGUUAGGAGACUUGAUGCGGA
RNAcentral lists this long non-coding RNA (1276 nucleotides) under Sorghum bicolor (sorghum). RNAcentral's name for it is "long non-coding RNA (SBIC_LNC010404)". The record is from RNAcentral. Lineage: Eukaryota; Viridiplantae; Streptophyta; Magnoliopsida; Poales; Poaceae.